Molecule: ribosomal RNA, 777 nt
Filed under: uncultured Neocallimastigales
Lineage: Eukaryota; Fungi; Neocallimastigomycota; Neocallimastigomycetes; Neocallimastigales
Description: partial large subunit ribosomal RNA
Rfam family: Eukaryotic large subunit ribosomal RNA
Source: RNAcentral
UAUCUCUGUAGAGUCUGCAUAUCAAUAAGCGGAGGAAAAGAAACUAACUAGGAUUCCCUUAGUAACGGCGAGUGAAGCGGGAAGAGCUCAAAUUUGAAAUCUUCAAGGUUUUACCUUGACGAAUUGUAGUUUAAAGAAGUGUUUUCUGUUGAAGUUUCGGUAAAAGUUCUUUGGAAUAGGACAUCAUAGAGGGUGAGAAUCCCGUAUUUGACCAUUAUUUCCAGCUUUGUGAUACACUUUCAAAGAGUCGGAUUGUUUGGGAAUGCAGUCCAAAAUGGGUGGUAAAUUUCAUCUAAAGCUAAAUAUUGGCGAGAGACCGAUAGCGAACAAGUACCGUGAGGGAAAGAUGAAAAGAACUUUGAAAAGAGAGUUAAACAGUACGUGAAAUUGUCAAAAGGGAAGCGUUUGACACCAGUGUUGUUUUCUCGAAAAUCAAUUAAAAAUGGCUUGAUUUUGUGUUGUAUUGACCUUAUAAGCUUUCUUCACUCUUUUCAUUGUCUUUUUUAAUGCACUUUUCGUUUAACAAGUCAACAUCAAUUUCUUUUGUUGUAAAAGGGUCAUUGGAAGGUGGCUUUCUUUUCGGAGAAAGUGUUUAUAGCCUUUGACUUCUGCAAUCGGAGAGACUUGAGGUCUGCAGCGUAGAUCCUUCGGGAUUAGAUACAUUUGUGCUAAGUUAUAGCCGUUUCAUAGACAACUUGUUGACUAUAUUCGAUCAUGUAGCUUACUCGCUUAUGCUAUUUUACCUACGCUUAGGAUGUUGAAGAUGUAGCACAUCAU